UGUAACUAUGCAUCCAUCCCUGUUUCACUGAAAACCUGAGCACUCAACACACAAAACACAAAAGACACAGAAAAGACAACCAAAAUUCAAAUUAACAUUCUCUGUGCUAUGUCUUUUCCCAUGUGUCUCUACAAAUAGCCUUUGUUUCCAGAGCUAAUUUUUGUUGAAUGAAAUGACUUCGGGCAAGUCUCUUUUAUAAUCAUUUUUCAAGUGCCAUUUGUGUGUGAGAGUAUGUGAGUGUGUGUGUGAGUGUGUCAGAGUGUGUGUGUGUGUGUAUGUUCUGUGUUUGUAAGUAUGAACAAAUUAUUUUCUAAAACAUGCCAAAUGGAUAGAAAUAGAAAACAAUGUUUAGAAACAUGUCCAUGAAACUUUCAGGCCUGACUGGGUACAAUUAAAAAAACUUACAGUGUACUUUUAUACCUGUAUACAUGUUACCAAUAAUAAGAUUUUGUAACUGGAUGAUGUGAGGUUUUACUUGAAUAAUGAGGGGGAAAGAUCAGUACUGUAGCAGGUAUUUUUUUUUUUCAUCUGUGAUUUCUGCAGACGUUCUCCUUCAAUGCUAGUGAUCUUAAACAUUAAAAGGCAAUUGUUAAGGUUUGGUUGCUUAAUGUAAAGAUACAAUUUGUCUGUAUUGUACCUUCUUCAUAGGAUUGUAAGGGUGUUCUAAUCAUUUUGCAUGUCAUAAAUCUUUUAGAUGUGUAUGUGUGUUAAAUGUAUGGAGUUUGGAUUAAACUGUUGACCUGA
Molecule: long non-coding RNA, 744 nt
Filed under: Rattus norvegicus (Norway rat)
Lineage: Eukaryota; Metazoa; Chordata; Mammalia; Rodentia; Muridae
Description: long non-coding RNA NONRATT006581
Source: RNAcentral